Molecule: microRNA precursor, 67 nt
Organism: Ochotona princeps (American pika)
Lineage: Eukaryota; Metazoa; Chordata; Mammalia; Lagomorpha; Ochotonidae
Source: Ensembl
AAUCCUUGACACCUAGGUGUGAGUGCUGUUUCAGUGCAACACACCUAUUCAAGGAUUCAAAGAGGCU